UCGUGCCCCCAAUACCAUAAAUCAUCCCCCAACCCUUCAACACCACUGAACUAUUUUAUAAACAUAUAAAAGCUAUUAUGCUAGAACUAGUAACAAGAAAUAGACUUUCUCCUCAAUGCACGCUUGAACCUAAUCGGACCACCCAUUGGCAAUUAACGUUAAUGUAAAAAUUAUAGCAUAUUCAGCUAGCAAACCCUAUUACACCUCAACGUCUACCUAACACCAGAGCAUUAAAGAAAAGAUUAAAAAAGAAAGAAGGAACUCGGCAAAUACUAGCCCCGCCUGUUUACCAAAAACAUCGCCUCUUGCCCAAAUAUAAGAGGUCCAGCCUGCCCAGUGAUAUAAUUUAACGGCCGCGGUACCCUAACCGUGCGAAGGUAGCAUAAUCACUUGUUCUCUAAAUAAGGACUAGUAUCAACGGCAUCACGAGGGCUAUACUGUCUCCUUUCUUAAAUCAGUGAAACUGAUUCUCCCGUGAAGAAGCGGGAAUACCCCUAUAAGACGAGAAGACCCCAUGGAGCUUUAAACUCACGCACACCCCCUGAGUACCUCAACCCCCGGGACCAAUUUAAAUUGUGCGCUAGUUUUGGGUUGGGGAGACCGCGGAGUAAAACUUAACCUCCACAACAAACGGAUUAACACCCUUAUCUAAGAACCACACCUCUAAGAAUCAACAAACUGAUGUCCCAUGACCCAUUUUAUGAUCAAUGAACCAAGUUACCCUGGGGAUAACAGCGCAAUCUACUUCGAGAGCCCAUAUCGACAAGUAGGUUUACGACCUCGAUGUUGGAUCAGGGUAUCCCAGUGGUGCAGCCGCUACUAAAGGUUCGUUUGUUCAACGAUUAAAACCUAC
Molecule: ribosomal RNA, 853 nt
Filed under: Amolops larutensis (Larut sucker frog)
Lineage: Eukaryota; Metazoa; Chordata; Amphibia; Anura; Ranidae
Description: partial small subunit ribosomal RNA
Rfam family: Bacterial large subunit ribosomal RNA
Source: RNAcentral